Molecule: ribosomal RNA, 388 nt
Filed under: uncultured bacterium
Lineage: Bacteria
Description: bacterial SSU rRNA
Rfam family: Bacterial small subunit ribosomal RNA
Source: RNAcentral
GACGAACGCUGGCGGCGUGCUUAACACAUGCAAGUCGAGCGGUAAGGCCCUUUCGGGGGUACACGAGCGGCGAACGGGUGAGUAACACGUGGGUGACCUGCCCUCAGCUCUGGGAUAAGCCUGGGAAACCGGGUCUAAUACUGGAUAUGACUCCAUGACGCAUGUUGUGGGGUGGAAAGCCUUGUGCGGCUGAGGAUGGGCCCGCGGCCUAUCAGCUCGUUGGUGGGGUGANGGCCUACCAAGGCGACGACGGGUAGCCGGCCUGAGAGGGCGACCGGCCACACUGGGACUGAGACACGGCCCAGACUCCUACGGGAGGCAGCAGUGGGGAAUCUUGCGCAAUGGGCGAAAGCCUGACGCAGCGACGCCGCGUGAGGGAUGACGGCCU